This 7142-nucleotide long non-coding RNA is filed under the name Homo sapiens (human). Its description in RNAcentral is "non-protein coding RBPMS-AS1:7". The record is from RNAcentral. Lineage: Eukaryota; Metazoa; Chordata; Mammalia; Primates; Hominidae.
ACACUGUGGGGCUGCGUCCGGGGCACGGGCCAUGCCUGAACCUUCUUCCACCGCCGCGCCCCGGGCCCGCGCCCCGCCGGCCGCCCGCACUGGGUCCCGCGUCGCCCCCGCCACCACACCGAGCCGCCCAGUACCUCCUCCUCCUGAAGGUUGGCCUCGCUCGGGGUGUUCUCCUUCUCGGCUUUGCCGCCGUUGUUCAUCUUCCCGGUCCUUCCUCGCCGGGCCGGGCAGGGCUGGGGCGCGGGGCUGGGCGAGGGCGCGCUAGCCCACUGGAGCCUUCCCCGGGCGCCGGGGCUCCCUCGGGCGGGCGCCGCGGGCUGUGGGGCUGGAGCUGGAGCCGGGGCAGUGGCUGUCGGGCUCGGGUUGGGCUGGGGCUCCCGCGGCGAGUCUGCGACGGCGGCGGCGGGCGACUCAGGAAGUGCAAGGGAGAGACGGGGCAGGGCGCGGGCCGGGAGCGGGGCACCGAGACAAUCGGGCCCCGGGAGGGCGACCUGGAGAGGGAGGGCGGGAGCCAGGGGAGGAAGGAAGAAGGAAGGAAGGAAGGAAGCAAAGGAUGGGGCGAGGACGCGCGUCCCAGGAGCAGAGCUGGGGGUCCGUACGGAGGAACUUCAGAGGCUGGAAGCACGCUUGAAAAAGAAAGGGGGCCUGGGCUUUGCACCAGCUUCAGGAUUGCGUACUUGUUUCCUCAUCCGUGAAAUGGGAGCAGCUGAAUGUGUCUCCUCGAGUUUUCGAGGGGAACAAACAUGUAUCCUGGAUGAAAAUAAACCAACUCUUGAAACUGCAACCCAAGACAUUCAGAAGAGAUAAGGCUACAGUGAAUGUGGAAACUUUGCACGUGUUUGGAUGUAUUGAUUGCCUUAACUGGCAGCUCUUUGCACUGCCAGCUUCCCUCAAUUACAUGAGGAACCACGAGGGGGCAAUGUCUUCCCGAGCAAUAAUAGCUGAGUGGUGGUCUUAGGACCCCGUGGUGGCCCAUGAUGCUAGCACUGUGUCUUUGGCCAUUCUUGCCUGUCAUGGAGCAUACUCCACAGAAGGGCAUGGUCUUCUUGGAUCCCGGCAUGGGCCCAACAAAAAUGACAAUGUAGUCAAUAGUUCCACUCAGACCUCACUUAGGAGCAGGUGAACUAUGUUGUGUGAUAUCAGGAUGCCCGGAGAACCUCUCCUAUCCCCACCCAGGGAAGCAUGGCUUAAUUCCAAAUAAAGAAUCUGAUUUCUUUGUCUUUAAGCCAAGCCAGGACUUUGUCCAUUGUUAAAAGUCAAAAAUCUCUGGGAUAAGAAACAAAAAUAAGUUCCAGUACAGGCAUGAGCCACCGGCCUGGCAGUGGUCUUUAGUCAUGAUUUUGCAGGGGGGACCCUAGAUAGAGACCUUGUGCAGAAUGGAACAACUGAUAAGGUUUCAAACAGUAAAAGAUAAAAUCCCACCAUUGAGGCCGGGCACAGUGCCUCAUGCCUGUAAUCCUAGCACUUUGGGAGGCCAAGGCGGGCAGAUCACCUGAGGUCAGGAGUUUGAGACCAGCCUGGCAUGGUGAAACCCCAUUUUUGAAAAUACAAAAAUUAGCCAGGCGUGGUGGUGGGUGCCUGUAGUCCCAGCUACUCGGGAGGCUGAGGCAGGAGAAUCGCUUGAACCCGGGAGGCAGAGAUUGCUGUGAACCAGAUCACACCACUGUACUCCAGCCUGGGCGACAGGGAGACUCCAUCUCAAAAAAAAAAAAAAAUCACACCAUUGAAUUUGACAUAUCAGACAAUAAAAUCGACACUGAUGCAGGGAUGGCUAUACUAUAUAGUCAGUGGUGAGAGUGACAUUCAGGGUGUUUUCAGAAAAACAUAUGGGGUUGGGAUAAUAUGUCAAGAAAAGGGAGAUUUCCUGCUUUUUAUCCUUUUCAUGAAGAGUAGUUUAGAGUUAUUUGAAAGAGCAAUAAUGUAUUACCAAUAAAACUCAAGGAAAAUCUGUAAACAGACUUUUGCUAUUUAUAAAACUUUGUGAUUGAAGGCAAAGAGUUUGAAUUUGUGUGGGGGAGGAAAAUGUACCUUCAAUCAGGGUAUAAAUGAUAAUUACAGCUUGUUUAUGACUUUAAAGAAAGAUUCCAAAGUAAUAUCUCCUCAGUAGCAAUAGUUCUCAGGCAUCCUGAGAAUUAUAAGACCACAAAGGGAUUUUUUUUUUGAGACGGAAUUUCGCUGUAACCAAGGGAUUUUAAAUCCUGUAAUAGUUGUGCUGAAGACCAGAAAAGUCCGCUUUCUCCCCAGCCUAACACUCUACCUACUGUAUUGCCUGACCUUCGAGGUUACCUUGAAAGGGUAAUAUUGUAUACACCUGUAGUUUUUUACUACUCACUGCUGUUUCUCUGGCAGUGUUCAUUUCGAGGCUUGCCUUAAGAAAUCCAAACCUAUAAUUAUGUCUUAAAUGUUUGCCUUUGGGAACUGCAGACAUUAAAGGUCUAUUUUGAGGCGAUUUGCAUGGCAUGGGCUUUGUACCUAUGUUAGCUUUGCAGCAGAAAGCUGCAGUAUCUACCAUGUGUGUUGUGAUUGUCUAUUAACCCUUCGGCUGAGCCAAAGAAGUUAUUGAGGCCAGAGGGGCUGUAUUUUAUUGGUUUUUGUCAUCCUUGACACCUCUCUCUCCCUUACCUCGUGCCUGCUCACCUCCAGCUCCUCUCCAUCUUCCCCUGAUUUUUUUAUUAAUUUAUCAUUGUGGCAAAAGACACAUAACAUAAAAUUUACCUUCUUAACCACUUUGGUUUUUUGGGGUUUUUUUUGAGAUGGAGUGUUGCUCUGUUGCCCAGGCUGGAGUGCAAUGGUGCCAUCUUGGCUCACCACAACCUCCACCUCCCAGGUUCAAGAGAUUCUCCUGCUUCAGCCUCCUGAGUAGCUGGAACUACAGGCGUGUGCCACCAUGUCCAGCUAAUUUUUGUAUUUUUAGUAGAGAUGAGGUUUCACUAUGUUGACCAGGCUGGGUUUUCUUUUUUCUUUUUUUUUUUCUUUUUUUUUAGUGAUGGGCCUUCACUGUGUUGCCCAGGCUGGUCUCAGACUCCUGGGUUCAAGUGAUCCUCCCACCUCAGCCUCCCAAAGUGCUGAGAUUACAGGUAUGAGCCACUGCACCCAGCCUACUUGUUUGUUUUUCCAGAUUUCGUUCUGUUGCCCAGGCUGGAGUACAGUAGCAUGAUCAUAACUCACUGCAGCCUCGAACUCCUGGGCCCAAGCAAUCUUCCUGCCUCAACUUCCCGAGCAGCUGGGACUGCAGACUCUUGCCACCACACGCAGCUAAUUUUUAAAUUUUUUUCCCAGGCUGGUCUCAAACUCCUGCCUUCAAGCAAUCCUCCUGCCUCAGCCUCCCUAAGUGCUGAGAUUACAGACAUAAACCAUUUCACCUAAGCCUUCCAUUUGAACCAUUUUUAAGUGUAGUGUUAAGUGUAUUCACAUGGUUGUGCAACAGCCCCCUGACUUUCACCUCCUAAAGAAUUCUGAGGUUCACUGGCUUCCCUCUGAUCAUGAUCAGAGGCCCACAUGGAGGAGAAUCCAGGUGUUUGGCUUACAGCCCCAGCUGAGCUCUGCAGACAACCAGUAUCAAUUUGCCAGCCCUCUGAGUGAACUAUCUUGAGAGUGGUUGCUCCAGCCCUAGUUGAGCUGCCGCAGCUGAUACCAUCUGGAAGAGAGAUGAGCUUUCUGCAGCAAACCCUGCCCAAAUUGCAAAAUUGUUAGCAAAAAAAAAAAUGAAUGCUGUUGUUUUAAGUCACCACAUUUCAGUGUGGUUUGUAAUACAGCAAUAUAUAACUGAAACAUAAUUACAUACCUAGAAGCGGGAUAAUAGAAAUCAACAGGGUGAUUCCUACUGUAAUAGAAACCUAAAACACAUGGCAGGAGCUUUGGGAUCAGGUGGAGGAUGGAAGCUGGAAGAACCUUGAGGAGUCUGUUAUUGACAAAUACUAUUAAAGAACAGUGAGUGGGGCUGGCCGUGGUGGCUCACACCUAUAAUCCCAGCACUUUGGGAGGCAGAGGUGGGCCGAUCACCUGAGGUCAGGAAUUCGAGACCAGCCUGGUCAACACGGUGAAACCCUGUCUCUACUAAAAAUACCAAAAUUAGCCAGGCGUGGUGACGCGUGCCUGUAAUCCUAGCUACUGGGGAGGCUGAGGCAGGAGAAUUGCUUGAACCCAGGAGGCGGAAGUUGCAGUGAGCCAAGAUCGCACCACUGCCCUCCAGCUUGGGUGACAGAGAGAGACUCAGUCUCAAAAUAAAAUAAAAUAAAGAACAGUGAGGAUACUGUUAUUGCUGGCUGGAGAAAAGGGGGAUUGACUUAGGUAUUGGAAGAACAAUUAGCUAAACUACUCUGCAGUUAUGUGAAAGCUAGAGAAGGUACCUAGUGAACAUGUGGAUCUGGCUAUGGAGAUUUCUGGAUAGAAUGGUGAAAGGGUGGAAUGGUUCCUUUUGCAUGCCUGUGAUAUAGUACCAGAGAAGUGCAGUGAGCUAAAAAAGAAACUGUUCCAUUUUUCAUCAGAAUUUAGAAGAAGCAAUUAAAGAAGCCAGGACUUGCAGGAUUUGAAAUAAAACUACUUUUCAUUCCUAGUUCUCCAGAGGACAAAACUCUCAAAAUAAGAAAUGGCCUAGGGGCAAAAGUCAAAUCCCAGGUACUAUCAGGAAAACAUAGUCAUAAGUAAAGUUCAAGACAACAACAGGUGCAGCAGCUCACACCUGCAAUCCCAGUGCUUUGGGAAGCCAAGGUGGGAGGAUUACUUGAGGCCAAGAGUUUGGGAUCAACUUGGGCAACAUAGCAAGACUCCUCUGCAAAAAAAAAAAAAAAAAAAAAGAAAAAAGAAAAAACAACAAUUUUGAGACAGAAUCUCGUUCUGUCACCUGGUUGGGGUGUAGUGGCAUGAUCAUGGCUCACUAAAACCUCUGUCUCCUGGGUUCAAGCAAUUCUCAUGCCUCAGCCUCCCAGGUAGCUGGGAUUACAGGUACACACCACCAUGCUUGGCUAAUUUUUGUAUUUUUAGUAAAGAUGGGGUUUCACCAUGUUAGCCAGGCUGGUCUCAAACUCCUGGCCUUAAGUGAUCUGCUCACCUUAGCCUCCCAAAGUGCUGGGAUUACAGGUGUGAGCCACCAAACCCGGCCUCUGCAAAAAAUUUAAAAAUUAGCUGAACAUAGUGGCACAUGCCUAUAAUUCCAGCUAUUUUGGAGGCUGAGGCAGGAAGAUCACUUGAGCCCAGGAGUUUGAGGGUACAGUGAAUUAUGAUCAUGCCACUGCACUACAGCUUGGGCAACAGAGCAAGAACCUGGCUCUAAAAAAAAAAAAAAAUGCCCAGGUGUGGUGGCUCAGGCCUGUAAUCCCAGCACUUUGGGAGGCUGAGGCGGGCAGAUCUCGAGGUCAGAAGAUCGAGACCAUCCUGGCUAACAUGGUGAAACCCCGUCUUUACUUAAAAAAAUACAAAAAAAUUAGCCAGGUGUGGUGGUGGGCGCCUGUAGUCCCAGCUACUCAGGAGGCUGAGGCAGGAGAAUGACAUGAACCUGGGAGGCGGAACUUGCGGUGAGCCGAGAUGGUGCCACUGCACUCCAGACUGGGGGACAGAGAGAGACUCCGUCUCGGGGGAAAAAAAAGAAGAUAAGGAUGUAGCUAGAAGACACUGGGUAGGCAGCUUCUACAAUGGACCCCAGUGAUCCUUCCCUCCCGGUAUUCAAACCCUCUGUAAUCCCUUCCUUCAUGUGGGCUGGACUUUGCAACUUGCUCUUAAGGAAUACAGUGUGGCAAAAGUGAUGGAUAGCACCUCCAAGACUAGAUUUAAAAAGAGACGAUGGCUCAUGUCUUACAUGCCCUCUCUUGCUCUCUCACUUGCUGCCUUUGACCUGCCUUAUGGAGACGCUCAUGUGGCAAGGAACGAAGGCCUCCAGCCAAGAGCCACCAAGGAACUGGUUUUCAGUCCAACAACCAGCAAGGAGCUGAAUCCUGCCAACUACUGCAUGAGUAGACCUGGAAAUAGAUCUUCCCUAAGUGGACCCUUCACGUGAAACCUAUUAUGGACUGAAUGCUAGUGUCCUUCUGAAAUUCACAUAAAAUCCUAACCUCCAUUGUGAUAGUAUUAGGUAAGGCAUUUGGGAGGUAAUUAGGUUUAGAUGAGGUCACAAGUGUGGGGCCCCCAUAAUGGGGUUGGUGCCCUUAUAAGAGGAGAAAGAGGCUGGGUGUGGUGGCUGAUGCCUGGAAUCCCAACACUUCGGGAGGCCAAGGCAGGAGGAUUGCUUGAAGCCAAGAGUUUGAGACCAGCCUGGACAACACAGUGAGACCCCCAUUUCUAUGAAUAAAUAAAUAAAUUAGCCAGGCACGUGGCUCACUCCUGUCAUCCCAACACUUUGGGAGGCCAAGGCAGGAGAUUUCCUUGAGACCAGGAGUUCAAGAUCAGCCUGGGCAACGUAGUGGGACCCUGUCUCUACAGAAAAAUUAGCCAGGCAUAUUGGUGUGAGUCUGUAGUCCCAACUACUACUCCCAAAGCUGAGGAAUAAGGAUUGUUUUAGCCUAGGAGUUCAAGGUUACAGUGAACUAUAAUUGUACCACUGUACUCCAGCCUGGGAGACAGCAAAACCCGGUUUGUGUGUGUGUGUGUGUGUGUGUGUGUGUGUGUGUGUGUGUGUGUGUGUGUCGAGAACCAAAGCUCCUUCUCUCCCUGCCAUGUGAGGACACAGUGAGAAGGUGGCUGACUGCAAGCCAGGAAGAGGGUCCUCAUGAGGAAAUGAAUUGACUGGCACCUUGAUCUUGUGGCACCUUGAUCUUGGACUUCCCAGCCUCUAUAACUGUGAGAAAUAAAUGUCUGUUGUUUUAGCCACCCAGUCUGUGGUAUUUUGUUAUGACAAGCUCAGCUGACUAAGUAAUUAAUACCAAGAAGCGGUUUGCUGCUGUAACAAAUAACUAAAAGUGUGGAAGCAGCUUUGGAACUGGGUAGUGGGUAGAGGCUGAAAGAGUUUUGUUUUUAGAGAUAGGGUCUGCCAGGUGCGGGGGCUCACGCCUGUAAUCCCAGCAUUUUGGGGGGCCGAGGCGGGUGAAUCACGAGGUCAGGAGUUCGAGACCAGCCUGGCCAACAUGGUGAAACCCUGUCUCUACUAAAAAUACCAAAAAAUUAGCUGGGCAUAGUGGUAGGCACCUGUAAUCCCAGUUACUUGGGAGGCU